UACGUAGGGUGCAGGCGUUAUCCGGAAUUAUUGGGCGUAAAGGGCUCGUAGGCGGUUUGUCGCGUCGGGAGUGAAAACCAGGUGCUUAACACCUGGCUUGCUUUCGAUACGGGCAGACUAGAGGUAUGCAGGGGAGAACGGAAUUCCUGGUGUAGCGGUGAAAUGCGCAGAUAUCAGGAGGAACACCGGUGGCGAAGGCGGUUCUCUGGGCAUUACCUGACGCUGAGGAGCGAAAGUGUGGGAGCGAACAGG
This 252-nucleotide ribosomal RNA is filed under the name uncultured bacterium. RNAcentral's name for it is "partial 16S ribosomal RNA". It matches the Rfam family "Bacterial small subunit ribosomal RNA", at positions 524 to 776 of the family's 1533-position model. The record is from RNAcentral.